CUGAUAACCGAAGCUGCGGAUGGGCGCGUAAGCGUCCCGUGGUAGGGGAGCNUUCUGUAGGUCUGUGAAGGUGUCUCGUAAGGGAUGCUGGAGAUAUCAGAAGUGCGAAUGCUGACAUGAGUAGCGAUAAAGCGGGUGAAAAGCCCGCUCGCCGAAAGCCCAAGGUUUCCUACGCAACGUUCAUCGGCGUAGGGUGAGUCGGCCCCUAAGGCGAGGCUGAAAAGCGUAGUCGAUGGGAAACGGGUUAAAAUUCCCGUACUUUUAUGCAGUGCGAUGUGGGGACGGAGAAGGUUAGGUCAGCGGCCUGUUGGAAUAGGUCGUUCAAGCUGGUAGGUGGUUAGAGUAGGCAAAUCCGCUCUUUCAUUCAACACCGAGAAGUGAUAACGAGGGUCUACGGACCUGAAGUGACUGAUACCACGCUUCCAGGAAAAGCCACUAAGCUUCAGCUGCAUAAGAACCGUACCGCAAACCGACACAGGUGGGCAGGAUGAGAAUUCUAAGGCGCUUGAGAGAACUCAGGAGAAGGAACUCGGCAAAUUGAUACCGUAACUUCGGGAGAAGGUAUGCCUGUUGAGGUGUAUGACUUGCUCACGAACUUUGACAGGU
Molecule: ribosomal RNA, 606 nt
Filed under: Chromobacterium sp. 23
Lineage: Bacteria; Pseudomonadati; Pseudomonadota; Betaproteobacteria; Neisseriales; Chromobacteriaceae
Description: bacterial LSU rRNA
Rfam family: Bacterial large subunit ribosomal RNA
Source: RNAcentral